Colletes gigas is the source of this 254-nucleotide long non-coding RNA. RefSeq lists it as uncharacterized. The record is from RefSeq and is a predicted model, not a curated record. Lineage: Eukaryota; Metazoa; Arthropoda; Insecta; Hymenoptera; Colletidae. The transcript is spliced from 3 exons.
CAAGAAAAUAGUCGCCAGAGACAAGAAUCGCAUCGUCUACCGAUGGAUCAUCAACGAAUCACGGAAGAGCUUCAGAGUCGUGUCAUGCAACUUGAGUCGGGUUUGCUUAUUAAGCGCAAUGAAAUUGAAGAAGAAAAACAGGUAAAUGAGGACUCUCUUAAACAAAAAGCAGACACGAUGGCGAAAGUUGAUGAAAGCGAAGAAAAGUAUAAAGUUUUGGAAGAGAAAUUUGAGAAAUUGAAAGAUGUAUAUGG